Long non-coding RNA from Mastomys coucha (southern multimammate mouse), 641 nucleotides. RefSeq lists it as uncharacterized. The record is from RefSeq and is a predicted model, not a curated record. The transcript has 2 exons. NCBI's taxonomy places the organism in Eukaryota, Metazoa, Chordata, Mammalia, Rodentia, Muridae.
CUUGAAGCCGCAGUCAGGGACUGCAGUCAUGGAGCUCAAUUCCUCAUGAGGGAUGUUGGAGAACAGAGCACACUUAAAGGAGCCCAGAAAGAUGAGCACAGAACACGGCUAGGCCCCGAGUUCCAAACAGACACUGUGACUUCAAGUGAGGAUGAAGGGGCAAGCCAACAGACCUGGAGCCAAGCUAGACACCACGGGUGGGUGGCAGCUACCACUGACUCCCAGUGGAGAGGAGAAUGGGUGGGGUGGAGCCUGUCAAAAGAACAGGUCUUAGCCUAAUGGUCUGCCAGCCCUCAGCUGCCUGUCACCACUGGAACCCUACAGUCAGACGCUGCGGGGUCCCUGGUCUGAACCUGCCAUGGUCCCAUUGGAUACAGAAAUCGUGCGCACAGCUGCUCUGAAGUCCCGCAUUGCUGGAGCCCAGUGGGGACAGAACAGAAAUGUGGCUGAAGAGACUGCUCAGCAAGUAAAGGUCUGGUUGCAGAGUCUGACAACUGUCCCUGGGGCCCAGACAGUGGAAGGCGAGAGCCGACUCCUGCAAGCUGGCCCCUGACCUCCGCAUUUGUACACAUGUCUAUGCACAGACAUGCUCACACUUCCACAGAUGUAAUUAAAGCAAGGUUUCAGAUUUUAUUUUCAUA